Molecule: ribosomal RNA, 245 nt
Filed under: uncultured bacterium
Lineage: Bacteria
Description: partial 16S ribosomal RNA
Rfam family: Bacterial small subunit ribosomal RNA
Source: RNAcentral
GACAGAGGUGGCAAGCGUUGUUCGGAUUUAUUGGGCGUAAAGAGCGCGUAGGCGGUCUCUUAAGUCGGUGGUGAAAUCCCGGGGCUUAACCCCGGAAUUGCCCUCGAUACUGGGAGACUUGAGUGCGGGAGAGGGUAGUGGAAUUCCCAGUGUAGAGGUGAAAUUCGUAGAUAUUGGGAAGAACACCGGUGGCGAAGGCGGCUACCUGGACCGCAACUGACGCUGAGGCGCGAAAGCGUGGGGAG